AACGCGAAGAACCUUACCUGGGCUCGAAGCACAGUGGACCGGGGUAGAAAUAUCCCUUUUCGCAAGAACUGCUGUGGAGGUGCUGCAUGGCUGUCGUCAGCUCGUGUCGUGAGAUGUUGGGUUAAGUCCCGCAACGAGCGCAACCCUUAUCGUUAGUUGCCAGCGGGUCAAGCCGGGCACUCUAGCGAAACCGCCCCGGAUAACGGGGAGGAAGGUGGGGAUGACGUCAAGUCCUCAUGGCCUUUAUGUCCAGGGCUACACACGUGCUACAAUGGUCGGUACAAACCGUCGCAAACCUGCGAAGGGGAGCUAAUCGGAAAAAGCCGGCCUCAGUUCGGAUUGGAGUCUGCAACUCGACUCCAUGAAGCUGGAAUCGCUAGUAAUCGCGGAUCAGCACGCCGCGGUGAAUACGUUCCCGGGCCUUGUACACACCGAUAGC
This 439-nucleotide ribosomal RNA is filed under the name uncultured bacterium. RNAcentral's name for it is "bacterial SSU rRNA". It matches the Rfam family "Bacterial small subunit ribosomal RNA", at positions 958 to 1397 of the family's 1533-position model. The record is from RNAcentral.